This 253-nucleotide ribosomal RNA is filed under the name uncultured bacterium. Its description in RNAcentral is "partial 16S ribosomal RNA". It matches the Rfam family "Bacterial small subunit ribosomal RNA", at positions 524 to 776 of the family's 1533-position model. The record is from RNAcentral.
GACAGAGGUGCCAAGCGUUAGGCGGAAUCACUGGGCUUAAAGCGUGUGUAGGCGGCUGCCUAAGUCCCUUGUGAAAUCCCACGGCUCAACCGUGGAACUGCUUGGUAUACUGGGUGUCUUGAGCCAUCUAGGGGCUACCGGAACAAAUGGUGGAGCGGUGAAAUGCGUAGAUAUCAUGUGGAACGCCAAUGGUGAAAACAGGUAGCUGGGGAUGUGCUGACGCUGAGACACGAAAGCCAGGGGAGCAAACGGG